Odocoileus virginianus texanus is the source of this 378-nucleotide non-coding RNA. The record is from RefSeq and is a predicted model, not a curated record. NCBI's taxonomy places the organism in Eukaryota, Metazoa, Chordata, Mammalia, Artiodactyla, Cervidae.
AGCGUGUUAUUCAUACGUAAAAGCAGCAACAAAACCCGGCCGUUUAGCUGAAAGGCAGGUCCCCACUGUGUAUAUGUUAACUGAAUCCUGCCUCCAUGGAAGGGGGAUAGUCCAUAGACGGGUCUAUGUUUCCAGCACUUAGUUCCCUAGAACCCACAUCAACAAGCUCAGUUUUGUUGGGGACUCCAGGAUUCAUGUGUUUGGGAGAGUUCAAAUGGAGCCCCUCUCUCCAAUGAUUAUGGAUGGACAAAGUGAUGGACAACCGAACCCACCUCAGAGGAGGGCAUUUUCUUGAGACUCCAGUGCUGAAAUGAUAAAUGGGUGGACCAUUUGGCCUUCAACAAAUGACAAAGAAAAAAUACAACUGAUUAGAGAGUA